ACGGAGGAUGCGAGCGUUAUCCGGAUUUAUUGGGUUUAAAGGGUGCGUAGGCGGAUUAAUAAGUCAGUUGUGAAAACCUUCAGCUUAACUGGAGAACUGCCAUUGAUACUGUUAGGCUUGAGUACGGUCAAGGUAGGCGGAAUUCCUAGUGUAGAGGUGAAAUGCGUAGAUAUUAGGAGGAACACCGGUUGCGAAGGCGGCUUACUGGGCCUUUACUGACGCUGAGACGCGAGAGCGUGGGUAGCAAACAG
RNAcentral lists this ribosomal RNA (251 nucleotides) under uncultured prokaryote. Its description in RNAcentral is "partial 16S rRNA". It matches the Rfam family "Bacterial small subunit ribosomal RNA", at positions 525 to 775 of the family's 1533-position model. The record is from RNAcentral.